Molecule: ribosomal RNA, 254 nt
Filed under: uncultured bacterium
Lineage: Bacteria
Description: partial 16S ribosomal RNA
Rfam family: Bacterial small subunit ribosomal RNA
Source: RNAcentral
GACGAACCGUGCGAACGUUGUUCGGAAUCACUGGGCGUAAAGGGUGCGUAGGCGGGUCUUUUAAGUCAGGGGUGAAAUCCUGGAGCUCAACUCCAGAACUGCCUUUGAUACUGAGGAUCUUGAGUUCGGGAGAGGUGAGUGGAACUGCGAGUGUAGAGGUGAAAUUCGUAGAUAUUCGCAAGAACACCAGUGGCGAAGGCGGCUCACUGGCCCGAUACUGACGCUGAGGCACGAAAGCGUGGGGAGCAAACAGG